Molecule: ribosomal RNA, 699 nt
Filed under: uncultured Bacilli bacterium
Lineage: Bacteria; Bacillati; Bacillota; Bacilli
Description: bacterial SSU rRNA
Rfam family: Bacterial small subunit ribosomal RNA
Source: RNAcentral
AACUUUCUUACACCGAAUGCUUGCAUUCACCGUAAGAAGUUGAGUGGCGGACGGGUGAGUAACACGUGGGUAACCUGCCUAAAAGAGGGGGAUAACACUUGGAAACAGGUGCUAAUACCGUAUAUCUCUAAGGAUCGCAUGAUUCUUAGAUGAAAGAUGGUUCUGCUAUCGCUUUUAGAUGGACCCGCGGCGUAUUAACUAGUUGGUGGGGUAACGGCCUACCAAGGUGAUGAUACGUAGCCGAACUGAGAGGUUGAUCGGCCACAUUGGGACUGAGACACGGCCCAAACUCCUACGGGAGGCAGCAGUAGGGAAUCUUCCACAAUGGACGCAAGUCUGAUGGAGCAACGCCGCGUGAGUGAAGAAGGUCUUCGGAUCGUAAAACUCUGUUGUUAGAGAAGAACACGAGUGAGAGUAACUGUUCAUUCGAUGACGGUAUCUAACCAGCAAGUCACGGCUAACUACGUGCCAGCAGCCGCGGUAAUACGUAGGUGGCAAGCGUUGUCCGGAUUUAUUGGGCGUAAAGGGAACGCAGGCGGUCUUUUAAGUCUGAUGUGAAAGCCUUCGGCUUAACCGGAGUAGUGCAUUGGAAACUGGAAGACUUGAGUGCAGAAGAGGAGAGUGGAACUCCAUGUGUAGCGGUGAAAUGCGUAGAUAUAUGGAAGAACACCAGUGGCGAAAGCGGCUCUCUGGUCUGUA